This 756-nucleotide ribosomal RNA is filed under the name uncultured Sebacina. RNAcentral describes it as "partial 28S ribosomal RNA". It matches the Rfam family "Eukaryotic large subunit ribosomal RNA", at positions 216 to 962 of the family's 3401-position model. The record is from RNAcentral. Lineage: Eukaryota; Fungi; Basidiomycota; Agaricomycetes; Sebacinales; Sebacinaceae.
GAAUCCCGUAUAUGGCAUGGACUACCGUUACUCUGUGAUACACUCUCGACGAGUCGAGUUGUUUGGGAAUGCAGCUCCAAAUGGGUGGUAAAUGCCAUCUAAAGCUAAAUAUUGGCGAGAGACCGAUAGCGAACAAGUACCGUGAGGGAAAGAUGAAAAGCACUUUGGAAAGAGAGUGAAACAGUACGUGAAAUUGUUGAAAGGGAAACGCUUGAAGUCAGUCGCGCCGUUCGGGAUUCAGCCUUGCUUCUGCUCGGUUUACUUCCCGUUGGGUGGGUCAACAUCAGUUUUGGUCGGAGGAGAAAGGCUUGGGGAAGGUGGCAGCAUUCGUGCUGUGUUAUAGCCCCUUGUUGUAUACUUCGACUGGGACUGAGGACCGCAGCACGCCUUUGGCCGGGGUUCGCCCACGUACGUGCUUAGGAUGUUGGCAUAAUGGCUUUAAGCGACCCGUCUUGAAACACGGACCAAGGAGUCUAACAUGUGCGCGAGUGUUUGAGUGUUAAACUCAGACGCGAAAUGAAAGUGAAAAGUUGGGAACACUCAUGUGUGCACCGACGCCCGGAGCUGACCUUCUGUGACGCAUCUGCGGUAGAGCGUAUAUGUUGGGACCCGAAAGAUGGUGAACUAUGCCUGAAUAGGGUGAAGCCAGAGGAAACUCUGGUGGAGGCUCGUAGCGAUUCUGACGUGCAAAUCGAUCGUCAAAUUUGGGUAUAGGGGCGAAAGACUAAUCGAACCAUCUAGUAGCUGGUUCCUGCC